This is a non-coding RNA of Caerostris darwini, 101 nucleotides long. The record is from the annotation of a GenBank genome assembly. Lineage: Eukaryota; Metazoa; Arthropoda; Arachnida; Araneae; Araneidae.
AACGGCCAUACUAUGCUGAAUAUACCGGUUCUCGUUAGAAAGCAUCAUUGGGCGCGGUCAGUACUUGGGUGGGUGACCACCUGGGAACACCGCGUGCCGUU